Molecule: ribosomal RNA, 651 nt
Filed under: Arthrobacter sp. S3.ACT.010
Lineage: Bacteria; Bacillati; Actinomycetota; Actinomycetes; Micrococcales; Micrococcaceae
Description: bacterial SSU rRNA
Rfam family: Bacterial small subunit ribosomal RNA
Source: RNAcentral
UGGCUCAGGAUGAACGCUGGCGGCGUGCUUAACACAUGCAAGUCGAACGAUGAUCUCCAGCUUGCUGGGGGGAUUAGUGGCGAACGGGUGAGUAACACGUGAGUAACCUGCCCUUGACUCUGGGAUAAGCCUGGGAAACUGGGUCUAAUACCGGAUACGACCAUCUGGCGCAUGUCAUGGUGGUGGAAAGCUUUUGUGGUUUUGGAUGGACUCGCGGCCUAUCAGCUUGUUGGUGGGGUAAUGGCCUACCAAGGCGACGACGGGUAGCCGGCCUGAGAGGGUGACCGGCCACACUGGGACUGAGACACGGCCCAGACUCCUACGGGAGGCAGCAGUGGGGAAUAUUGCACAAUGGGCGAAAGCCUGAUGCAGCGACGCCGCGUGAGGGAUGACGGCCUUCGGGUUGUAAACCUCUUUCAGUAGGGAAGAAGCGUAAGUGACGGUACCUGCAGAAGAAGCGCCGGCUAACUACGUGCCAGCAGCCGCGGUAAUACGUAGGGCGCAAGCGUUAUCCGGAAUUAUUGGGCGUAAAGAGCUCGUAGGCGGUUUGUCGCGUCUGCUGUGAAAGACCGGGGCUCAACUCCGGUUCUGCAGUGGGUACGGGCAGACUAGAGUGAUGUAGGGGAGACUGGAAUUCCUGGUGUAGCGGUG